UUUUUAUUUACACUCCCACUAAUGUGUAAGUUAGGCUUUAAGUAAUUGUUUCUAUUAUGCAGGCUGACUAUUCAAACAGAUAUUGCCCCAGCCUGAUUUCUUUUGUUCAAAAAUAAAAGAACAAUCUCUUUGGAUACAUGCAGAGACCAUCAGGGGAAGCAUUAGAAGGACUGCAGUGAUCAGGAAAAUGCAAGAGCAUAAUAGAAGCAAGUUUAAAUUUGAUAGCACGUAAAGAAAAUGAUAUGCUUCUGCUUCUAAGCAAGGUGUCUUUAAGCUGUGAAGAAUUUGUAAUGGAAUGACUGAUACAGUGUUUUAUACUCGUCCUUUGAUUUCAAAAUAUUGCAAGGCAGAAUUGAUGAAGACACCUCUGAAAUAGUGAAGAACUAAGUUCAGAGAUGCUCUCUGUGAAAGCUGAAGAUCGAAGCAGAGUGUAUUAGCAUGCUGCAAGUGAUUGCUUUGUAAUUUAAGAAAGGUGGUGGAAAACGCUUUAACCUGAAUCCACACCUUAAAGUAAUUAGUAUUAGGAUAAUUACAAAAACUGUAGACUAUUAGCCCUUAAAAAAAAAAAAAAGAAGGAAAAAAAAGAAAAAAGAAAAACAAUAGACUCAACAGAUUCCCAAAUGCUAGAAUAUUCCUGUUCUAAAAUUCAAAACAAAUUUUGGAUUCAGGCCAUUUGCUUAGCAGAGACUCAGAAAUGGACCGCAGGAAACCAUUUUGUACAUUCCCUUGAUCCAGAGAGAAUUGGUUAUGCUAUGUCACUCUAGGAUGUAAGGAAUGAGUAUAGUUACAACAACAAAAACAACAAAAACCCUCUGGUUCAAAACUGUGGCAAGAAAUUCUUGAGAAAGGAGAAGGUGACAGAGUUUGGAUGCAGAUUAGAAUUCAGUUGCUGUGUUAGUGCAGCAAAAGAAUUCCCUACCUGAGAGCAUUGUAAAGUCUGAGAAAAACAUCACCAUUAUCCAGAAAGGUCACCAAAAGAAACCAAUUAGAACUCUGGAAGGAAUAAAUCUUUAAUAAUGCCCUCCCUGGAAAGGUCA
Molecule: long non-coding RNA, 1037 nt
Filed under: Anas platyrhynchos platyrhynchos (common mallard)
Lineage: Eukaryota; Metazoa; Chordata; Aves; Anseriformes; Anatidae
Description: lncRNA (ENSAPLG00000016570.1)
Source: RNAcentral